This 492-nucleotide ribosomal RNA is filed under the name uncultured bacterium. RNAcentral's name for it is "partial 16S ribosomal RNA". It matches the Rfam family "Bacterial small subunit ribosomal RNA", at positions 29 to 507 of the family's 1533-position model. The record is from RNAcentral.
AGUGAACGCUGGCGGUAGGCCUAACACAUGCAAGUCGAACGGCAGCACAGUAAGAGCUUGCUCUUACGGGUGGCGAGUGGCGGACGUGUGAGGAAUACAUCGUAAUCUACUUUUUCGUGGGGGAUAACGUAGGGAAACUUACGCUAAUACCGCAUACGACCUACGGGUGAAAGCAGGGGAUCUUCGGACCUUGCGCGAUUGAAUGAGCCGAUGUCGGAUUAGCUAGUUGGCGGGGUAAAGGCCCACCAAGGCGACGAUCCGUAGCUGGUCUGAGAGGAUGAUCAGCCACACUGGAACUGAGACAGGGUCCAGACUCCUACGGGAGGCAGCAGUGGGGAAUAUUGGACAAUGGGCGCAAGCCUGAUCCAGCCAUACCGCGUGGGUGAAGAAGGCCUUCGGGUUGUAAAGCCCUUUUGUUGGGAAAGAAAAGCAGCAGGUUAAUACCACGCUGUUCUGACGGUACCCAAAGAAUAAGCACCGGCUAACUUCGUG